This 603-nucleotide ribosomal RNA is filed under the name uncultured Gemmatimonas sp. RNAcentral's name for it is "bacterial SSU rRNA". It matches the Rfam family "Bacterial small subunit ribosomal RNA", at positions 155 to 759 of the family's 1533-position model. Lineage: Bacteria; Pseudomonadati; Gemmatimonadota; Gemmatimonadia; Gemmatimonadales; Gemmatimonadaceae. The record is from RNAcentral.
ACGGCCGGGUAAUACCGCAUACGCUUGGUUUGGGGCAUCCCUUUCCAAGGAAACUUCCGGGGCGGAUCGAGGGGCUCGCGGCCUAUCAGCUAGUUGGCGAGGUAACGGCUCACCAAGGCGACGACGGGUAGCUGGUCUGAGAGGAUGGCCAGCCACAUUGGGACUGAGAAACGGCCCAGACUCCUACGGGAGGCAGCAGUGGGGAAUAUUGCGCAAUGGCCGCAAGGCUGACGCAGCGACGCCGCGUGUGGGAGGACGCCUUUCGGGGUGUAAACCACUGUUGCCCGGGACGAACACCUGGUUUUGGCCAGGCUGACGGUACCGGGUGAGGAAGCACCGGCUAACUCCGUGCCAGCAGCCGCGGUAAUACGGAGGGUGCGAGCGUUGUCCGGAAUCACUGGGCGUAAAGGGCGCGUAGGCGGUGCGGUAAGCGUGCGGUGAAAGCUCGGGGCUCAACCCCGAGUCGGCCGUGCGAACUGCUGGACUGGAGCAUGUCAGAGGCGGGUGGAAUUCCGGGUGUAGCGGUGGAAUGCGUAGAGAUCCGGAAGAACACCGGUGGCGAAGGCGGCCCGCUGGGACAUAGCUGACGCUGAGGCGCGACAG